UGGGGAAUAUUGCGCAAUGGGCGAAAGCCUGACGCAGCGACGCCGCGUGUGGGAUGACGGCCUUCGGGUUGUAAACCACUGUCGGGAGGGACGAAUGCCCCGCAAGGGGAGUGACGGUACCUCCAAAGGAAGCACCGGCUAACUCCGUGCCAGCAGCCGCGGUAAUACGGAGGGUGCAAGCGUUGUCCGGAAUCACUGGGCGUAAAGGGCGCGUAGGCGGCUCGGUAAGUAGGGGGUGAAAUCCUGCGGCUUAACCGCAGGGCUGCCUUCUAAACUGUCGAGCUCGAGCACGGUAGAGGCAGAUGGAAUUCCCGGUGUAGCGGUGGAAUGCGUAGAGAUCGGGAAGAACAUCAGUGGCGAAGGCGGUCUGCUGGGCCGUUGCUGACGCUGAGGCGCGACAGCGUGGGGAGCAAACAGG
RNAcentral lists this ribosomal RNA (418 nucleotides) under uncultured bacterium. RNAcentral describes it as "bacterial SSU rRNA". It matches the Rfam family "Bacterial small subunit ribosomal RNA", at positions 355 to 776 of the family's 1533-position model. The record is from RNAcentral. RNAcentral also lists the same sequence under 1 other name.